CCUACGGGUGGCAGCAGUGGGGAAUAUUGCACAAUGGGGGAAACCCUGAUGCAGCGACGCCGCGUGAGUGAGGAAGGAUCUCGGUAUGUAAAGCUCUAUCUGCCGGGAAGCAGCAAGACGGUACCUGACUAAGAAGCCCCGGCUACCUACGUGCCAGCAGCCGCGAUAAUACGGAGGGGGCAAGCGUUAUCCGGAUUUACUGGGUGUAAAGGGAGCGUAGACGGUAUGGCAAGUCUGAAGUUAAAGCCCAGGGCCUAACCCCGGGACUGCGUUGGAAACCGGUAGACUAGAGUGCUGGAGAGGUAAGUGGAAUGCGUAGUGUAGCGGUGAAAUGCAUAGAUAUUAGGCAGAACACCAGUGGCGAAGGCAGCUUACUGGACGGUAACUGACGUUGAGGCACGAAAGCGUGGGUAGCAAACAGGAUUAGAUACCCGUGUAGUC
This 441-nucleotide ribosomal RNA is filed under the name uncultured bacterium. Its description in RNAcentral is "partial 16S ribosomal RNA". It matches the Rfam family "Bacterial small subunit ribosomal RNA", at positions 338 to 795 of the family's 1533-position model. The record is from RNAcentral.